GAUGGCCAGGCUGUCUCCACCCGAGACUCAGUGAAAUUGAAAUCGCUGUGAAGAUGCAGUGUACCCGCGGCAAGACGGAAAGACCCCGUGAACCUUUACUAUAGCUUGACACUGAACACUGGUCCUUGAUGUGUAGGAUAGGUGGGAGGCUUUGAAGCGUGGACGCCAGUCUGCGUGGAGCCAUCCUUGAAAUACCACCCUUUAAUGGCUGGUGUUCUAACGUGGGCCCGUAAUCCGGGUUGCGGACAGUGUCUGGUGGGUAGUUUGACUGGGGCGGUCUCCUCCUAAAGAGUAACGGAGGAGCACGAAGGUUAGCUAAUCCUGGUCGGACAUCAGGAGGUUAGUGCAAUGGCAUAAGCUAGCUUGACUGCGAGAGUGACGGCUCGAGCAGGUGCGAAAGCAGGUCAUAGUGAUCCGG
Molecule: ribosomal RNA, 418 nt
Filed under: Staphylococcus aureus
Lineage: Bacteria; Bacillati; Bacillota; Bacilli; Caryophanales; Staphylococcaceae
Description: partial 23S ribosomal RNA
Rfam family: Bacterial large subunit ribosomal RNA
Source: RNAcentral